ACUGCUUUAUGACCUCACCUCAGACGUGUCACUUCUGUUGCAUUCUGAUCCAACCAGUCACCAAGAGCAGCCAGUUGAGCUUUCACCACCCGGCUCCUCCACCACCAUCCUGUUGGACUGCCAGUCAUUCACCACCCUCAGCUCCUCCACCGCCUUCCUGUUACACUGCUGGGCCCUUCACACACUCGACUCCUCGACUGCUCUGCAGGUGGACUGACCGGCCCUGACUGUCCUAGGCUUCUCCACUACCCAACAGUUGAACUGGCUGGCAAAUCACCACCCUCGGGUCCUCCACCACCCUCUGGUUGGACAGGUCUUUCACCAUCCUCAACUCCUCCACCGCCAUUCAGAUGGGAUGGAAAGCCAAACAUCACCCUCAGUUGGACUGCUGGACCGAUCAUCACCAUUCCAACUGAAGCUUCCUGAUAAUGCAAACCUCGGAACCAGCAGAUAAUAGGUCAAGUUCUUGGAUGCCUCUUCACACUUGGUAUACUCUAAUUGGAGCUUUGCGCUUUUGCUUUCAACCUGUCCCAAUCUCGGCAAUUGCUGGAAUUUAGGGA
Ochotona princeps (American pika) is the source of this 560-nucleotide long non-coding RNA. RefSeq lists it as uncharacterized. Lineage: Eukaryota; Metazoa; Chordata; Mammalia; Lagomorpha; Ochotonidae. The transcript is spliced from 3 exons. The record is from RefSeq and is a predicted model, not a curated record.